CUCAGAUUGAACGCUAGCGGGAUGCCUUACACAUGCAAGUCGAACGGCAGCACGGACUUCGGUCUGGUGGCGAGUGGCGAACGGGUGAGUAAUGUAUCGGAACGUGCCUAGUAGCGGGGGAUAACUACGCGAAAGCGUAGCUAAUACCGCAUACGCCCUACGGGGGAAAGCAGGGGAUCGCAAGACCUUGCACUAUUAGAGCGGCCGAUAUCGGAUUAGCUAGUUGGUGGGGUAACGGCUCACCAAGGCGACGAUCCGUAGCUGGUUUGAGAGGACGACCAGCCACACUGGGACUGAGACACGGCCCAGACUCCUACGGGAGGCAGCAGUGGGGAAUUUUGGACAAUGGGGGAAACCCUGAUCCAGCCAUCCCGCGUGUGCGAUGAAGGCCUUCGGGUUGUAAAGCACUUUUGGCAGGAAAGAAACGUUCCGGGUUAAUACCCCGGGAAACUGACGGUACCUGCAGAAUAAGCACCGGCUAACUACGUGCCAGCAGCCGCGGUAAUACGUAGGGUGCAAGCGUUAAUCGGAAUUACUGGGCGUAAAGCGUGCGCAGGCGGUUCGGAAAGAAAGAUGUGAAAUCCCAGAGCUUAACUUUGGAACUGCAUUUUUAACUACCGAGCUAGAGUGUGUCAGAGGGAGGUGGAAUUCCGCGUGUAGCAGUGAAAUGCGUAGAUAUGCGGAGGAACACCGAUGGCGAAGGCAGCCUCCUGGGAUAACACUGACG
Molecule: ribosomal RNA, 727 nt
Filed under: Achromobacter sp. 111117_136_C_H4
Lineage: Bacteria; Pseudomonadati; Pseudomonadota; Betaproteobacteria; Burkholderiales; Alcaligenaceae
Description: bacterial SSU rRNA
Rfam family: Bacterial small subunit ribosomal RNA
Source: RNAcentral